CUGUACACUGCCCUGACCACUCGUUACAGGUAACACUGUACACUGCCCUGACCACUGGCUACAGGCAACACUGUACACUGCCCUGACCACUGGUUAAAGGUAACACUGUACAAUGCCCUGACCACUCGUUACAGGUAACACUGUACACUGCCCUGACCACUGGCUACAGGCAACACUGUACACUGCCCUGACCACUGGUUAAAGGUAACACUGUACACUGCCCUGACCACUGGCUACAGGCAACACUGUACACUGCCCUGACCACUGGCUACAGGUCACACUGUACAAUGCCCUAACCACUGGCUACGGGUAACACUGUACACUGCCCUGACCACUGGCUACAGGUCACACUGUACAAUGCCCUGACCACUGGUUACAGGUAACACUGUACAAUGCCCUGACCACUGGCUACAGGUAACACUGUACACUGCCCUGACCACUGGCUACAGGUAACACUGUACACUGCCCUGACCACUGGUUAAAGGUAACACUGUAUAAUGCCCUGACCACUGGCUACAGGUAACACUCUACACUGCCCUGGCCACUGGCUACAGGUCACACUGUACACUGCCCUGACCACUGGUUAAAGGUAACACUGUAUAAUGCCCUGACCACUGGCUACAGGUAACACUCUACACUGCCCUGGCCACUGGCUACAGGUCACACUGUACACUGCCCUGACCACUGGUUACAGGUAACACUGUAUAAUGCCCUGACCACUGGCUACAGGUAACACUGUAUAAUGCCCUGACCACUGGCUACAGGUAACACUGUAUAAUGCCCUGACCACUGGUUACAGGUAACACUGUAUAAUGCCCUGACCACUGGCUACAGGUCACACUGUACACUGCCCUGACCACUGGUUACAGGUAACACUGUAUAAUGCCCUGACCACUGGCUACAGGUAGCACUGUAUAAUGCCCUGACCACUGGCUACAGGUAACACUGUAUAAUGCCCUGACCACUGGCUACAGGUAACACUGUACAAUGCCCUGACCACUGGCUACAGGUAACACUGUGCAAUGCCCUGACCACUGGUUACAGGUAACACUAUAUAAUGCCCUGACCACUGGCUACAGGUAACACUGUAUAAUGCCCUGACCACUGGCUACAGGUAACACUGUAUAAUGCCCUGACCACUGGCUACAGGUAACACUGUACAAUGCCCUGACCACUGGCUACAGGUCCAACUGUACACUGCCCUGACCACUGGCUACAGGUAACACUGUACAAUGCCCUGACCACUGGCUACAGGUAACACUGUUCAAUGCCCUGACCACUGGCUACAGGUAACACUGUAUAAUGCCCUGACCACUGGCUACAGGUAACACUGUAUAAUGCCCUGACCACUGGCUACAGGUAACACUGUGUAAUGCCCUGACCACUGGCUACAGGUAACACUGUGUAAUGCCCUGACCACUGGCUACAGGUAACACUGUAUAAUUCCCUGACCACUAGUUACAGGUAACACUGUAUAAUGCCCUGACCACUGGCUACAGGUAACACUGUAUAAUUCCCUGACCACUAGUUACAGGUAACACUAUAUAAUGCCCUGACCACUGGCUACAGGUAACACUGUAUAAUUCCCUGACCACUAGUUACAUGU
Long non-coding RNA from Salvelinus namaycush (lake trout), 1606 nucleotides. RefSeq lists it as uncharacterized. The record is from RefSeq and is a predicted model, not a curated record. The transcript is spliced from 2 exons. NCBI's taxonomy places the organism in Eukaryota, Metazoa, Chordata, Actinopteri, Salmoniformes, Salmonidae.